GGGGGUGUAGCUCAGUGGUAGAGCGCUGGCUUUGCAGGUGAGAAGUCCCGGGUUCUAACCCCGGCACCUCCA
RNAcentral lists this transfer RNA (72 nucleotides) under Rhipicephalus sanguineus (brown dog tick). RNAcentral's name for it is "transfer RNA alanine (anticodon UGC)". It matches the Rfam family "tRNA". Rfam says of the family: Transfer RNA (tRNA) molecules are approximately 80 nucleotides in length. Their secondary structure includes four short double-helical elements and three loops (D, anti-codon, and T loops). Lineage: Eukaryota; Metazoa; Arthropoda; Arachnida; Ixodida; Ixodidae. The record is from Rfam by way of RNAcentral.